This 484-nucleotide ribosomal RNA is filed under the name uncultured bacterium. Its description in RNAcentral is "partial 16S ribosomal RNA". It matches the Rfam family "Bacterial small subunit ribosomal RNA", at positions 30 to 507 of the family's 1533-position model. The record is from RNAcentral.
AUUGAACGCUGGCGGCAUGCUUUACACAUGCAAGUCGAACGGCAGCGCGGGCUUCGGCCUGGCGGCGAGUGGCGAACGGGUGAGUAAUGCAUCGGAACGUGCCCAGUAGUGGGGGAUAGCCCGGCGAAAGCCGGAUUAAUACCGCAUACGACCUGAGGGUGAAAGCGGGGGACCGAAAGGCCUCUCGCUAUUGGAGCGGCCGAUGUCGGAUUAGCUAGUUGGUGGGGUAAAGGCUUACCAAGGCGACGAUCCGUAGCUGGUUUGAGAGGAUGACCAGCCACCCCGUGUCUGGUACACGGUCCAUACUCCUAAGGGAGGCAGCAGUGGGUGCCUCUGCUCACAGGGGGGUAACCUGUUCCAGUUAUGCCGACCAUGCCGCGAAGCCUUUCGGGUUGUAACCUGCUUCUGUUCGGGACGCAAUGCUUUUGGCUAAGACCUAGGGGAAUUGACGGUACCGGAAGAAUAAGCCCCGGCUAACUACGUG